GGGGAUGAUCGGUUUCGACAUUGCCUGCAUGACUGUGAGAAGCGGGCCGAGGAUGCAGGGUUAUCUCGUUAACGAUCUCUGCAAACAACAGGUGCCAAUUCCAAGCGCACCGACUUCGCUCUCGCUGUCUAAGCCAGAGCCAUGAAGUCCGUCAGCCCGCGCGUGCCCUCGUCGCGGAUGCUGGCGUCAGCUAGAGGGCUUGCUAUGACGCUGUGUCUCAGGGCGUCGUGGGACUUGAACUGAGACUGGGCUCGUCGACCUGGAUGCCAAGGGCAAAGGUCGGAGCCGAGUAGAACGCUCUCUUUGGCUACGCCCGUAGAAGGCGCGGAAUUACAGCAGUGGACGGGGGUUCAAUUCCCCCCAUCUCCACAA
This 372-nucleotide transfer-messenger RNA is filed under the name Naasia lichenicola. Its description in RNAcentral is "Standard tmRNA". It matches the Rfam family "transfer-messenger RNA". Rfam says of the family: Bacterial tmRNA, also known as 10Sa RNA or SsrA, is named for its dual tRNA and mRNA-like properties. Lineage: Bacteria; Bacillati; Actinomycetota; Actinomycetes; Micrococcales; Microbacteriaceae. The record is from Rfam by way of RNAcentral.